Molecule: long non-coding RNA, 1195 nt
Organism: Frankliniella occidentalis (western flower thrips)
Lineage: Eukaryota; Metazoa; Arthropoda; Insecta; Thysanoptera; Thripidae
Exons: 4
Source: RefSeq, a predicted model, not a curated record
CCCCUCCCUCCCCUCCCCUCCUCCCUUUCCUUUCCAUUCCAGUUUGUUUUGUUUGGAGUUGUUAUUGAAAUGCACUGCAAUGCACUUCAAGAACUGCAAAAUCUCGUGACCAAAGUGUCGUUCUGGUACCGUUUACAUCAUUAUUAUCAAACCCGUGAAGCGUAAGCGUUAUUCGUUUCCCCCCUGCGUGUCGCUGUUGCGCUCAAUGUUUCUCGAGGUUUGAUCGCUCUUCUGGUUGAUUGGGUCUUCAGAUCGUCAGACAUGCAACAUCAGUAGAACGCAGACCAAUACGGAAAGCUUGUGAGCUACUCACAGGACCAAGAUAGACAAGACCUGACCUUCACGCAGAGCAGUGACUCAUACAUUGACUUACCAUCCUAAGAUUUGUCAUUUGGAUAAGAAGCUGUAGAGAUGAAGAUUUUCUUUCAAGUGGAGAAGUUGCUCUUGAUGACGGGAGUUAUCAACUAAUUCCGUGGUGCAAGCCAACCGGAUUGGACGAAGCUUGACUCUCUCUCAUGUUUAGUUGUUUAAUAUGAAUUUAUCUAUUCAGUUGGUUCUCAAAUUUAUUUGGUUCUGAUUGAUCCUAUCAUUUUACUAGUCUGUCCUUUUGUGUGUGUGUGUGAUGGUGUAACUUGAUCAUGUUUUUUUCUUGUAAUUCAUCUGAUAGACUAGUUGUAUCCUCACCACAAGAAGGUGUGUUUGUGUCACUUAAUAUUUGAACUCCAAAUUUCCAUUAUUCUGUUGCCAAAUGUUUCAUGCUUUCUUGCUGUACAAGUCAAACCCAAUCAGUCAGAUAUUGCUGGCAUGACAUUAACUUUUUGUCACCCUAAAUUGCCUAAAAAAGGUCUUACCAUUUUCUGUUUAUACAGAUGGACAAGCAAUGUCUGCUUCUAAUUUUAAUUUCUAUGUCUUCUGCCCACACGAUACAGCAGAGAAAAAAAUUAUUAGAGAGGUUGUAAGAUAGAUUUGAUAUCUUAUAAAGAUACUGCUUUGCCCAUCUAGUUAAGUUUUAAGAAUCAACAAUUUUUUUGUUGAGCCUGUAGUGUGUACUGAAAGAGGAUAUUUCUGUCUAGAGCUAUUCUUAAAGCCGUAUCUAUUGUAAGUUCCCUAAACUAUCAAGGGUUGCUGAUUGAUUCUGGAGGAAGUGAUGGGUUUUAAUAAUAGAUAGAAAAUAAAUAUUGAUCACAUUUUAUCA